Molecule: long non-coding RNA, 516 nt
Filed under: Solanum tuberosum (potato)
Lineage: Eukaryota; Viridiplantae; Streptophyta; Magnoliopsida; Solanales; Solanaceae
Description: long non-coding RNA (STUB_LNC006389)
Source: RNAcentral
AAAUUAAAUAUAUGACAUUGUUUUUAUUGAUUCAUAUAUAACUAGACCCAAAUUUAUUCAUAAUUCUACUCAUUAACCCAAUUUAAAAAAAAACUAUGUUUUGUUACUUGACAAUCUAUGCAUUCCAAACCCCUUCAGUUCAUGGUCUUCCCAAAGAGCAGUACGAUCAGCUAAAGCACCAAAAAAGUAUGGUAUAGCACUCUUUCAUGUAUAAGCUUCUGCUCUAUCAAUCUACAAACCCACAAACGGUGGUUAACAGGGGCAAGUUUAUUAGCUUACUGCCAGCUCUGUCGUUGCAGAUUGCUGCUAGUUAUCUUUCAUUGGAUCAAGAUGAAAACAGAGACAAGUUUAAGAGCUCUGCCAAUCCAAUGAGCACGAUAUAAUUAAGUAAACAAGUGUUGCGUUUUUUAAUUGGGUUAAUCGAUAGAAUUGUGAAUGAGUUUGGAUCUAAUUGCAUGUAAAUAAAUAAAAAGAAUAUCAUAUAGUAUAUAAUUAAUGAUAAAUUUAGUUGACUGA